This 468-nucleotide ribosomal RNA is filed under the name uncultured bacterium. Its description in RNAcentral is "partial 16S ribosomal RNA". It matches the Rfam family "Bacterial small subunit ribosomal RNA", at positions 28 to 507 of the family's 1533-position model. The record is from RNAcentral.
GAUGAACGCUGGCGGCGUGCCUAACACAUGCAAGUCGAACGGAAAGGCCCUGCUUUUGUGGGGUGCUCGAGUGGCGAACGCGUGAGUAACACGCGAGUAACCUGUCCCUGACUUUGGGAUAACUUCAGGGAACUGGGGCUAAUACCGGAUAGGAGAUUCUGCUGCAUGGUGGUGGAUGGAAAGUUUCGGCGGUUGGGGAUGGACUCGCGGCUUAUGAGCUUGUUGGGGGAGUAGUGGCUUACCAAGGCUUUGACGGGUAGCCGGCCUGAGAGGGGGACCGGCCACAUUGGGACUGAGAUACGGCCCAGACUCCUACGGGAGGCAGCAGUGGGGAAUAUGGCACAAUGGGCGGAAGCCUGAUGCAGCAACGCCGCGUGCGGGAUGACGGCCUUCGGGUGGUAAACCGCUUUCGCCUGUAACGAAGCGAGAGUGACGGUAAUGGGUAAAGAAGCACCGGCUAACUACGUG